This is a non-coding RNA of Malus domestica (apple), 4750 nucleotides long. NCBI's taxonomy places the organism in Eukaryota, Viridiplantae, Streptophyta, Magnoliopsida, Rosales, Rosaceae. The record is from RefSeq and is a predicted model, not a curated record.
GGUGCCAAUCUUUACCAUGCGAUCCGGAUAAUCUUUUGAGAUAGAGACCUUCUCCAACUCUUCAGCGAGUUGUGCUUGCUGGGUGAAAGAGUCAUCUCGGAAGGGAUACCCAUAGCAACAUUCACUUUUUUCAUGUUUGGAAAAGCCUUAGGAGUGGAGCCAAAUUCUGAAUCUACAAAAACAGCGGAAGACAAUCAGAAAAUUGAAUAGUAGCUUGGCACUAAAGCAAAGCAACCGAGAAGAUUAAGCAGCUUGCUUACCAGAUACGAAGACCAUUGGUACACGUAGCUCGAGGGAAGAAUCAGACUCUCAUUCUCCACUUAUCUCCAAAGUCUCUUUGGCCCAAUCAUGAUCUCCCUUGCUCGAAUUAUCAAAAAGCCUAUGGCGAGAUCAUAGCUGCCCAACUCCAUCUAUGUGAUCUAUGUCAAAGAAGUACCAAAAUUCAUUGACGGUUAGAUCUAAGUCAAAGAAUUGGCUUAGAUUGUGGAAUCCCACCAUCACACGGACCGCGUUCGGAGAACAUUGGGCGGUGGCAUAUCUUAUGGAGCGUAGCACUUCUUGGAAGAAAUGCGGCAUAAGAAAAGUAAACCCUAACACAAAAUAGUAGGGGUGAAACUUAAUGGCUCUCCGAGUUCCACUACAUGGUUCCCGGCUGCGACCAUUCUUAACUCGCUUCACAUGCACUCCCGACGGAAUGGCAUGCCAAUACGCCUCAAGAAAGUCUCUAAAUAAAUCAUCGGAGCUAAUCUUGAAGUGAGCAGCUUUGAAGUAGCCCACUUUGUUCAAAGACCCACCUUGACGAUACAAUGGCGGCACACCAUCAUCAUUCUUGUGACUCGAGGAAGACAUACUUAAAGGAAUUCAACAAAAAGUACAAGGAAGAUUCAUUAGAGGGUUGUUCAAAAAAAAAAGGAGCAUAUCUCGGCAAAAACAAAAUGGGGAACCAAGCUGCAGAAGCCCAGCAAAACUGCCAGGCCCCACGACCUGGCUUCUCACGCCAGCGCCCAAAGAUAUAUGAAGGUGCACACGACACAACCUUGUCGUGGCCUCCCAAGCCACUCUUUCACAAAUCCUCGACUUCCGUCAGGCCAAAUUUCAAGCCCCGAGGCUUCCAAAAAAUUAUGAAGACAAGGAAAUUAAAUUUUUCUUACCUAGAAGCAACGUGAAGACGAAGCAAGCAACGUGAAGACGAAGCAAGCAACGAAAGACGAUCAUUUGCACCGGCAAGAUGUAGAAGAUUGUUAGAGAAGGGGGAACAAAUAUCCUCUAAGCUCUCUCUCUCUCUCUUGUAGGGUAAAAUAAAUUGCUCUCCAAAGUUGAUUUCCAUUUAAGAUGGACUUAAAUAAGCUUUGAGAAAAAAUUAUUUCCUUUUCCUAGAAGGAUCUAAUUUCCUAUUAAAAGAGAGAAUAAUCAUCAAAAUAGGAAACAAUUCAAAGUUUCCUAAGGCAAGAAAAUCUCUACACCUGUUGCCCUUUUCUGCGAGUAGCCGAACAGGUGUAGGGGCAUUUGUGGAGCCAAAAAUAAUCACAAGGCAACACGUGAAUUCCUAGACAAGAGAGGACAAAAAUACCCUUGAGGUACAACGAGAUUCCUACGCGCGAGCAGCGGGCAAUCAUCCUUCAAUCAAGUCAAAAAUGCCCAAAAAAAGGUAACAAUUCAAAAUUCAUCUCAUCAAAUCCCUUUUACAAGGUAAUUCCCAAAACAUAUCUCAUUCCAAAUAUUUUUACCUUUUUCCCCUCUCUUUUAGCUAAACAAUUAAGCUAUCAUUACAUAACCUCCCAAAAAACAUUCCUUUUAUUAUGUUAAUUAGCCAAUUAAUAUAUUUAUUCCUAAUUAAUAUAUUAAUUGCUAAUUAAAUCACCAAAUAACACCCAAAAUAUAUAUAAAGGGCCGGCCACUCUUUCUCCAAAGAGGAUCGGCCAUGCCCUAUAAAUAUUACCCACUUUUCUAUAAAAACCUAGGUUCACACUCUUGCAAAAUUCCAAAAACUCUCUAAACAUUUUUCUCUCUAAAUUCUAACUUUGGCAUCGGAGGUUCUUCGGCCAAAGCCCCCCUCCCAAUUCAUCGUGGGCACGUGAGGCUCUUGGCCUUGACCCUAAGGUGUUAAUUGUUUUGUAAGUGUAAUUUUGUCCAAGAUCAAGGAGGAAGAAAUUUGUAUCCACAUUGGUUAAAAGGUCUUUUUUGUUAUGAUCACUGUUAUUGUUAGUCACAAUGACCAUCUGCAAAGUUGUAAGCUUUCAGUAUGUUGUUACGUGCUUGCUGCUAUGGUCAACAUUGUAUACCUCUGCAUUUUGUUCAUUGGAAAUGCUGGUGUUGGUUUGACCUUUUAUCGUUACCCUCACCAUUCAUAUUAUUGCAAUGUACUAUAUUAUUUUCAGUUUUUAGAACACCAAGUUUACAUAUGCAACAAAACUACAAAGAAAAAGAAUUUCUUAUAUGUAUAUAUUAUAAUAUUAUAGUUGUAGUGGUUACCUAAUUGCCCCCUAAAUUUCUGAUAGAGCGUCCAUAACCUUCGGUAGUUGAUCCCCAUCACCUGAAGUAAAUGUAUUGAGAAACUUGAUGUAUUGGUAUAGAAAUAGGAUGAUGUUUCUUUGACCUAGUAACAUCAAAUUUAGUGAACUUAAUAUUUAUGCAGAUAGAUUGGAUAUUAGUCUAUUAUCUUUAGUAAUUGCUUGAGUUUUAACAUUAAUAAUCUGUACUGCAGAAAAUGCUAGAGAACUUUUUAAGUAGGAAAUGUGUGAAAGUGAAUAUCAGUCUUUUGGUCUUAAGUAAAUGUAGCUUUUAGCUUUCUAUUAAUUUCGAUGUUUCUGUUUACAUUGUUCUAGCACGUGUCUGAGGGAUGUCAAACAAGGACUUUGAAAAUGACCUUGAUGAUAAAGCUAAUUGGCCAAAACCUAUUGAAAACUACUUUAUUAGUAUGUUGUAGGAAAAGACAAAAAAAGGCUUGCAAACCAACACUUUAGAAAAAAAUCAGUGGGAUGCUAUUGGCAUGAAGUUGUUUGACAAAUAUGGUAAGAGAUACACUCGUGAAAAAUCGAAGCAAAAAUAUAAUCGGUUGCGGAAGAUUCACCGUGAGUUUCCCAAGCUUGUUAAUCAUACUGGGAUGGGUUGGGAACCUGUUGCAAACACUAUUCAAGCAUCAGACGAAGUUUGGGCAACUUAUAUUAAGGUAUUUAUUGUAUUAUAUAAUGGUUAGUAAGAUGACUAUGGAUAUGCUUUUGCGUUUGGUAUUAAGAUAUUUUGCUUUAUGAUGAACUAUAAUUAAAUGAGUAUGGAAAUUACUAGUUUUGGUAAUAUGAUUAAUGUUAUGUUAUUAUCCUAUAGUAUUGUCUUGUCACUUUGUUUAGCUAUUAAUUACUUGAUAGUUGUAUAAUAUAAUUAUUUGUAUGUCUAUAUAGAAUGGAUUCAAAUGAAGUGGACAAUAAUGGUUCAAGUUCAGAAAGUGAUUCAUCCUCUGAUUUGGAUGAUUCACUUGGAGAGUUGCUUUUAGUUACAAGACUAUAUGACCAUUUCUCACGUUUAAAUAAAAAGUCAUGCAUGACUUCACAUUUUUCAGGCCGCCAAUAUGUGAUGGACUUAUUGAAUGGACAUCCACAUAGGUUAUUUGAUAUUGUAAGGAUGGAUAAAAACACGUUCAAGAAUUUAUGCUCGACAUUGAGAGAAUUGAACUUUCUACAAAAUGAUAGAUCAGUUUGUGUGGAGGAGGCCGUAUGCAUGUUUUUGUUUACUAUCAGUUAUACAAUCAGCAACAGGGUAAUUGCUGAAACUUUUCAACAUUCUAAAGAGACUGUGUUAAGACAAUUUAACCGAGUUCUCAAAGCAAUAUGUCGACUUGGUACUUGUAUAAUUCAACCUCCAAAUAUGGAUGUGACACCUUCUGAGAUUUUGGGAAUCCGAAGUACGACUCAUGGUUUCAGAAUUGCAUUGGCGCUAUUGAUGGAACACAUAUCACUGCAUGGGCUCCUUCAUCAAAACAAAUUUCAUACCGAGGUAGAAAAGUUAGUGUAUAUUAUGUUGGCAUGUUCAUUUAACAUGAUGUUCACAUAUGUCUACACCGGAUGGGAAGGAAUAGCUAAUGACUCAAGAGUGUUGAUGGAUGCAAUAACAAGAGAAUAGAAUAGGUUUCCAAUGCCUAAAGAAUGAAAAUAUUAUGUUGUUGAUUCCGGUUAUGCCAACAUGAGUGGGUUUCUUGCACCAUAUCGCAAAGUGCGUUAUCACUUGUGUGAUUUUAGAGGAAGAGGUAAACGUCCAAGAGGAGCAAUGGAAUUGUUCAACUUUAGGUACUCAUCACUACGUAAUGUUGUUGAACGAAGCAUUGAAGUGCUUAAGAAUCGUUUUCCUAUUCUAAAGUUGAUACCAAAUUAUCCAAUUAGGAAGCAAAGACGCAUUCUCGUUGCAUGUUGUGCCGUGCACAAUUUCAUUAGAAUGCAAUCAAGGAAUGAUGCUUUGUUUCAACAAUUUAAAGGCAAUGACGUUGAUGUGGUAGAUGAAGAAAGCUCGGGGGCGAAUCAAGAAGGGGAAAACAUGCAUUUGAAUGACAACAAUGUUAUGAAUGAUGUUAGAGACCACAUAGCCGGAUCAAUGUGGCUUGAUUACGUCAAUAACAAUUAGUCUCAAAGUUUAUUGGUUUUCUUGAAUGUUUUAAUGUAAUAUUUAUUAUCUAAGACUUGAAGUUUAUUUUGAUUAUCGAGCAUAUAUGUGUUGUAUUAGCACAUGGAUAUAAAAAUAAUAUGUUUAAGGUUUAAUUUCA